Molecule: unclassified non-coding RNA, 492 nt
Filed under: Hevea brasiliensis (rubber tree)
Lineage: Eukaryota; Viridiplantae; Streptophyta; Magnoliopsida; Malpighiales; Euphorbiaceae
Source: RNAcentral
UCUUUUCCAAAUCCCAAUCUCAUUAAGUCCAUUUUUCAACCAUUCAAAGCUCAAGCACCUGGAUAGUUGGGGUAACGAGAUAUUUGUAGAAACAAAUCACCAAUAUUUGAACCCAAGGUUUCAAUUAGAGUGGCUUGAUUUAUCUGGUGGUGGAUAUUGUGGAGCAUUCCCCAAAUUCCUACAUCAUCAGCAUAACCUACAAUUUGUUGAUCUAUCACACAUUCAAAUGAGAGAUGUGUUUCCGUAUUGGUUGAUACAGAACAACACAAAACUAGCAACACUUUACUUGGUCAACAAUUCUCUCUCAGGGCCUCUCCAACUGCCACUCCAUUCUCAUAUGAAUUUGUCACUAUUAGAUAUCUCAGACAAUUGCUUCAAUGGCUCAAUUCCAGUAGAGAUCGGAACAUAUCUGCCAAAAUUGAUACAUUUAUACAUGUCGGGAAAUGGUUUCAAGGGUAGUAUUCCCUAUUCAUUUGGAAAUAUGAGCUUAUU